Neopelma chrysocephalum (saffron-crested tyrant-manakin) is the source of this 192-nucleotide long non-coding RNA. RefSeq lists it as uncharacterized. The transcript is spliced from 2 exons. The record is from RefSeq and is a predicted model, not a curated record. NCBI's taxonomy places the organism in Eukaryota, Metazoa, Chordata, Aves, Passeriformes, Pipridae.
UUGGAGACAAGGGGCGGUGCCUGAGUGUCACCAGCACCCGCCGGAACCCGGCAGGACCCGGUGCCGUCACCGGCAACGCCACCCUGGGCUCCUUCUGGAGCUCCCUGCAGGCCUGCACCGGACACGGUGGGUGCGUCCGUCUCUGCUGAGCCCCCAGGACCGUGACGAGCCGGGACCCCCCAAGGACCCCCC